This 450-nucleotide ribosomal RNA is filed under the name uncultured bacterium. RNAcentral describes it as "partial 16S ribosomal RNA". It matches the Rfam family "Bacterial small subunit ribosomal RNA", at positions 354 to 796 of the family's 1533-position model. The record is from RNAcentral.
GUGGGGAAUAUUCCGCAAUGGACGAAAGUCUGACGGAGCAACGCCGCGUGAGUGAUGAAGGUUUUCGGACUGUAAAGCUCUGUUGUUUAGGACGAAAGUGCCUGUUGCAAAUAGUUACAGGUAUUGACGGUACUGAACGAGGAAGCCACGGCUAACUACGUGCCAGCAGCCGCGGUAAUACGUAGGUGGCAAGCGUUGUUCGGAAUUAUUGGGCGUAAAGAGCAUGUAGGCGGGAAUCUAAGUCUGUUGUGAAAAUGCGGGGCUCAACCCCGUAUUGCGAUGGAAACUGGGUUUCUUGAGUGCAGGAGAGGAAAGGGGAAUUCCCAGUGUAGCGGUGAAAUGCGUAGAUAUUGGGAGGAACACCAGUGGCGAAGGCGCCUUUCUGGACUGUGUCUGACGCUGAGAUGCGAAAGCCAGGGUAGCGAACGGGAUUAGAAACCCGGGUAGUCC